This 8990-nucleotide long non-coding RNA is filed under the name Populus trichocarpa (black cottonwood). RNAcentral describes it as "long non-coding RNA (PTRI_LNC001842)". Lineage: Eukaryota; Viridiplantae; Streptophyta; Magnoliopsida; Malpighiales; Salicaceae. The record is from RNAcentral.
AAUCUCAAAACCUUUAUCCUUUCACGUUUAGCAUACUGUCAAGCCCAAAGAUAAUGGGUUUGACAGAUCGUAAGACUCAUGUCCAAUUAGGCUCAGCGUGCAGUCAAGUCCAAAGGUGCUAUCAUGCCUAGCCCACGGGCGGUGGGUUUGACAACUUGCUAGACUCAUGAUCACCUGAACUCAGUAUGUAGCCGAUCCCAAUGAUGUUGGAUUUAGCAACUCACCAGACCUAUACUCAUUUGGGCUUAGCACGUAACUCAACCUAAAGAUUUUGGGUCUGACAGCUCGCUAGACUCAUAACUGCUUGGGAUCAACAUAUUGUUAAACCUAAGAAUGUUGGAUUUGACAGCUUAUCAGACCCAUGUCUUUUUGGACUCAACACGUAGUCACACCCAAGGACGUUGGGUCUGACAACUUACUAGACUCAUGUCUACUUAGGCUCAGCAUGUAGCUAAACUCAAGAAUGUUAGUUCUGAGAGCUUGCUAGACACAAGAAUUCCAACUAUUUUGGUUCAAUAGCGACCUUUUAUCUCUACGUCGGAAUCCAGCGAGCCUCUCUAUUCUCUCACAAAAAAGGAUUGAAAAUGAGGGAAUUGAAUUUUGAUAUCAAAAUUAUUUUUUUAACAAUUAAAAAGAGUGAUCACUUAUAAACUGAAAAAAAUAAAGGAUCAAAAUAAAUUUUUAUAUGAAAUUCAAAGUCAGCCUAUUUUAUCCACUCUUUUCAGUUUGAUCCUUUAUUUUUCAUUUCAACAUUUUUUUUCCAAAAAAAUAUAUACAAUUUAAUGCUAAUUUGAAUUAAAAAACUAAAUUAUGCAAAAACAAAGCUAGGAGAGAGAGGACAAUGCAUCUUCAAUAGUAAUAGUAAUAUCACCACUCGGCUUAGUUUUUUUUUUUUUUUUUUAAUAGAACAAACAAGCAUCAUUAAACGAGCAAGUGAGAUCUGAUGAUUUGGAUGCUUUGUACAUGUGUAUAAUCGUCCUUUUCCAAUCGAUCUCAUUAUUGCAAGUAUUUGGUCCCGCCAUGAAAAAUUACAUCUUCUUCUAUUUCGAGCAUGGUCACCUGUGAUCCAGCUAUACGUUGCAGGAAGAUAGAACUUUUUCUUGAAAGUUGACGACAGCAAAACUCUUUUUUUUCGCACAUGGAUGUUAAGAAAUUGAGUGCUUUCAUGUACCUUCUCCCAUGGCAUGUUUGCAUUUACAGUUUUACUUGAGUACCUCCGAAUCUAGUUUCUUUGAUGCGAUAGAAUGUUUGUGAAAGUGGUGCAAAUCAUUUUUUUUAAAUUUAUUUUUUUAUGUUUUGGAUCGUUUUGAUGUGCUGAUCUUAAAAAUAAUUUUUAAAAAAUAAAAAAAAUAUCAUUUUGAUACAUUUCAGCAUAAUUUUUUUUUAAAAAAACAAUUGCAAUCACACUCCCAAACAGGCUCAUGAGAAACCAACCUCAUAACCUCACGACCCGCUAUGCUCUAGCUAGCCUUGCAACAAUUUUUUUUAUAGAAAUUUUAGAAUGUAUUAACGAUUAUUUUUCAAAGUGUUUUUUACUUGAAAAUAUAUUAAAUAUUUUUUUUAAUUUUUUAAAAUUAUUUUUAAACAAAAAAUAAAUAAAUUUUACACCACUCCCGUUGAAUGUUUAAAAGUAUUCACUUUAGGGAGAACGAUAUGAUUUUUUGGGUUUAAUUUUCGAGAUUUUAAUAAAUAUUUUCCUUUCUUUAGCAAAUGCAGAAUUGUUAACUUUUAUUGUAUGAGUCCUUCUCCAUUUACCUAGUUACCAUCCGAAAAAACCCUUAAAAUCGUACCACCCUGCAAGUCAUAAAUCCUGGGUUGUUUCGACUUUAGAAUAAGUAGAUUAGUAAUUACAAUCGUUUUGUUUAUUAUGCAAUUAUAUAUAUUAAUACAAAAUCUUAGCAUAUAUAUCGUAAGCUUACAAUAGAGUUUAAAAGAAAAUCCUAGUAUAUAUGUUUGAAAUUUAUUUAAUUGACAUGAUUUAAAUAAAUUAUGGGUGAAUGAGAAAUUAAUUUAAAAAAAACUCUUAUUUUUUCUAUUAAAAAAACUAUUGAUUUUUCUAUAUUUAAUUCUUGAUUUAUGAUGGCUAAUCAAAAGUUUAUCAUAAUGAGAAUUGAUUUUUAUUAAUUCUUCAACUUUUAACUUUUAAAAUUCACUUAAAAAAUAAGAGGGUGAAUAGAGAGUUUUUAACUUGAAUUUUUCAGAUUUUUUAAUACUCUUUCUCACCUUAUUUUUGGUGUUUUAAUCAUCUUUUAUGGUUUGGUCUUUUCUUUCAAAUCUAGAGUUUAAAUUCAUGAGAGAUAUUUGAGUUUUUUUAUUUUGGUUCAAAAACCUUGUUUAGAAAUGUAUCUAAACUAAGGUGGUAGUGUUGGAAUCUUGAGAGACAUAUUGCAAACCAUAGUUUUAAAACCCGGCCCAACGAGUUGACCCGAGAUUGAAACCGGGCUGAGUUUGAGAAAAAAUAAGGGAAGAUAAAAACCCGAGGUGACCUAGUCAAAAACCUGGGUUGCAACUUAUUAACUAUUUUUUUUUAACAAAAAUGACAUUAUUUUGUUUUAUAAAAAUAAUUGGGGGUUGACCCGGUCAAAACCUAUGACAUGAGCCGAAUUUAAAAACUAUGUUGCAAACAUUUUAGUUGCACAAGUGAAGAGCAAUAAACAUAUUACGGACAAAUGAUUCAUCUUUUACAACAACAAAAUUUUUUAUUUUUUAAAAGUGCUUCAACAAGUAAAUGCUCUUUUUUAUUUUAAUUUAAGCAUUAUUAUUUCUAUUAUUAGUAUACAUGCAAGGACUUUAAUAUAUAUAUAUAUAUAUACCAAGUUUGUAUACAUAACAUGCUAUUAUUCUUUUUAUUAUAUUUAUAUUGAGAAUAUAUUUGUCUUGAAUUUUAUUUUGCAUGUUUAUAAAUUCAAAAUUGUAUGUAUUAAAAGAUUACCUUGAACAAUUUUUAUAUUUUGCAUGCUUUUAUUAUGAUACACUAAACAUCUUUGCUCACUAGUGUAAUAUAAUACAACAUAUUUUAAAAACAAUUGUAAGGUUUUAUUUUUUAUAUUAGAUUUUAUUUAGUUUAUCAUGUGAGAAAAAAAAUGAUAAUAAUAAUAAUAAUAAUAUAGAUUAAUUGUGAAAGAGCCUUUAGCAUCUUUAAAUUAUAAGUUAUAAUUCAACUUUAUGUAAUUUGCUAUAUUCUCACAUAUAGAUUUAAUUUUAAUUCUAUAUGCUUUAAUCUAUAACCUUUUUGUUUUAUUAUGAUUUUAUUUAUUUAUUUAUUUAUUAAAGGUUUCUAUAAAUCUUUGUUUUAAAGUUAUAGUUUAUCUUCUAAAAUUGUUUUUUAUGCAAUUUGAAUGUUUUGAUGCAUGUCAUAUAUUUUAUUGAUUUAUAUUUUUCAACAAGUGAGUUAUUAUUUUCAAAAAGUUGUUUUUUUUUUACCCCUCCAAUCUUUCAUAAGAACUUCUUUAAUGAAAUUAUUAUUCAUAUGAUACUAUUUUCAUAUAUAAUAUAGUUUGUAAGUGAAAUGAUGAUAAUUGAACAAAUCACAGAAAAUAAAAUAUGGCUCAACAAAGCAACCCAAUAAAGAAAAUGACUGUUAAAACCAAUAUUAAUAAUGUUGAUUACCUCACUAAUAAAAUUUUGAAAUGAACAUGUUUGUUGUUUUCAAAGUCAACCUGGCUAAACAAUCCUCAACAAUGUAUUGGAUGUUGUUGAUAUUAGAAAAAACUUAGUGUUUGAUUUAUUGUUGAGAAAAAAAUAGUUUUAAGAUGAUUUUCUUUAAAGUGGUAAAUUUAUACUCUCUAAGAAUGAUGUAUUUGUAGCAAAGAGGUAUCUCCGUGAUAAGCUUUUUAAAAUGAAUGUAAUGAUCAAUAUAACCAAUGAUGAGAACAAUAAUAAGAUUAUCUUUUUUUUUUAUUUGCUUGAGUUUUGUGAAAUAUGGCAUGAAAGUAAGGUUAUGUGAAUUAUAAUUUUAUGAAAAGAUUAAUAAACUAUGAAUUACCAAGUAUGGUUUUUUAGAAAAAUCAUAAGUGUGAAAUUUAUAUAAAAUUAAAAUUUACAAAACCUUCUUUCCAAACAAUUAAAAAAAGUAGUGAACCUCUAAACUUAAUUUACUAAGAUAUUGGUGAUUCAAAAUUUAUACAAACUUAAGGUGGAAAAAAUAUUAUAUUAUUUUUAUAGAUGAUUUCACAAGGUAUGGUUAUACUUAUCUACUUAGAAGCAAUGAUGAAGCUCUUGAAAUGUUUAAACAUUACAAGAAUGAAGUUCAAAAUCAACUUAAAAAGAAAAUAAAUGUAAUAAAAAGUGAUAAAUAUGGAGAAUACAAAGCAUUAUUUGGCGAAUUCUGUUUUCAAAAUGAUAUUAUUAACCAAAUUACUCCUCCUUAUUUACCACAAUAAAAUGAUAUUGUAGAAUAUAAGAAUCGAACAUUAAAAGAAAUGACGAAUAAAAUGUUGAUAAGUUCAGAGACACAUUAGAACUUGUAAAGGGAUGCAAUUCUAAUUGUCAAUUACUAACAAAAUGCCCGAUAAGAAGUUACAAAAGACAUUAUAUAAAUUGUAGAAAGGUAAAAGACCUUUCUAUAAAUACCUCAAAGUAUGAAAUUGUCUUAUGGGGGUAGCAAUACUUGAUUAUAAAAAAGUAAUGAUAGAAUCUAAAACUGUGGAUUAUGCAUUUAUUAGAUAUGAAUACAAUAGUAGUGCAUAAUGACUUCUUGUAAACAAAUCAAGUAUUGAGGAUAUUCAUCCUAAUACCAUUAUAGAAUUCAAAAAUGCUAUAUUUUUUGAAGAUAUGUUUCCAUAGAAGAAAGCACGAAAAAAUUAUUCACUUAAAAGAACGAUUGAGGUUAUAACUCAAGUAAUUAUCACCAAUAAAAAAAUAAUGAGGUUGAUAUUAGAAGGAGCAAAAGGGAAAAAACAACAAAAAUAUUUGGUUUUGAUUUUUUAACAUACUUGUUAGAAAAUAAAUCUCGAACUUACUACAAGACAAUGUCAUGUUUAGAAGCUUUCUAUUCGAAGAAUGCAGUUAAUAGUGAAAUUAAAUCCAUUAUAAAUAAUCAUAUAUGAAAACCAAUGUAUUUUCUUCCCGAAAGUAAACCAUUAGGCCAUAAGUGAAUAAUUAAAAGAAAAAUAAAAGUUGAUAGCACUAUUGACAAAUAUAAAGCUAAAGUUGUUAUUAAAAGUUUUAGACAACAAGAAUAUGUGUUAUAUUUUGAUAUAUAUUCACUCAUGUUAAGAAUAAUUUCUAUACGAAAUAUUAAUAGUUCCAAAAAAAUAAUUUUUUUUUUGCUAAAAUUUAAUAUAUUUUGUAUGUUUUGGAUCGUUUUGAUGUGCUGAUGUCAAAAAUAAUUUUUAAAAAAUAAAAAAACAUCAUUAACAUGCAUUUCGGCACAAAAAAUUAUUUAAAAAGCAACCGCUACCACACUGCCAAACACUCUCUAAGAGCAGCAAAUCAUGAAAUUGGAAUUGGAGGAGUAAAUCAGACUCACAAUAAGUAAGGAGAAGGAGAGUAGGAGAUGAUGAAUAUUACAAGUAGUUUAAGAAACACUAACCUGAUUUCUGUCAAAGCAGAGAGCAAAGAGGAAGGAGAAGGAUUUUGCAUGAUUGGCUGGUAGGUUAGGGUUUUUUUGGAAGUAUUUAUAUAUUAAUAUAAAUUUAUAAAUUUGGUUUGAUUUUAUUGAUUUCACACAAGUUAAAUUUAAUUUUAUUAAUUUUCGUAUUUUAAUUUAAUUUUAUAGGUUAGAUAUAUGAUUUUAUGAGUGAUUUUAACAACAAUUCUUAAUAAAAAAAAUAAGUUAGCAGUUACUGAAUAUUUUUUACGUUAAAAAAUCCAACCAAUGACAUAGCUUGGACUAAUGAACCAGUGCAAUUCUAUAACCGAGGAGAAACUAUUCCAUGCAAGCAACUAUAGGUUAAAAAAACACAUUAGCACGUGGCUUGCAGACAUAGGAGAAUAUCACUCAACAAAACAAAUGUAAAUCAAAUUUUGCAGCACCAAAAUGAAAUUCUCUUAUCUGGAUUCUCUACUGUACUUAAAAACACACCAAACGCAACUGAGUUAACGCGGGUUCUGAGUUCUGAUUCGCAUUUCCACCACCAAACAGAAUCAUUCAUACUUGCUAAACAAUUCUCACCGAACAUCAAGAUUCUUUGUCACAAAUACAAGAAAUUGGUGAGUUUUUCAAUGCUAAAAGCAAUACAGAAUCUUGGUUCAUCAACAACAACAACCACAACAACAACAACAGGGUUUGUGGCAUCUUUUUAUAGAUUGAAACCACCACAUGCCACCACAACUAGUGCUUUUGUCUCAAUUUCUUCCAGCCUGUUAUCCUAUUAUUCUCCAAGAACCAGACCCACAAAGCCUCUUCUGUUUUUGACUCGAAAGACUCGAUCUUUGGAACCUGUUCGUGCUCACUCAACUCGGUCUGAGUCUAAGAUGGAUGGCACUUCUUCUUCUUCAUCAGUUGCUGUUCAGUCAUCUGUGAGUUUCUUUUAUUUGAGUUCUUGUUCUGUAUUGUUGACAUCCUGAUACUCUUAUUGAAUUUGUAGAUAAAUUAGAUAAUUAGUUAUGAAUAUUGGGCUGUUGGGGUUUAUGAUUGUCAUUUUCUUGAUUGUGUGGUAGAAAUUUCUCUUAUUUAUUCAGUCCAUUUUUUUGGUCAUCUUCGUGCUUUAAUUGAAGUUUUAUCUUAGUUUUAUGCCUCCAUUGUUGUGGAAUUUGAUCAUGUUUUACUUGUUUUCAUUUAUUGUAAAUGUUGAGUUGCUUAUUUGAUCGACUUGGAAGCUACUUAAUCUUGGUUGACACACAAGCUAGGUCGAAGAUACUUGAAUGAAACAAAUAAGAGAACCUUAUAACUAAUCUCAUAUCACAUAGUAUUCUUUUUUGAACAUCACUGAUAUAUAUUUUUUUUCUUAUUCAAGUUUUGUCAGUGCUUGUAUCCACAGCUAGGUUUAGAAAGAGACGGUGUGAAUUAGAUUAAUUGGUUCAGGAUAUCAUUGAUUGUUGAUGCCAGUGGUUUUUUACUUUUCUUCCCUUUUUGUCUCAUUCGAGACACUUGCAUUCACAUAAUCCUGUAUGGUGCUCAUUGCUUUUCUUUUCCAAUGCCCCCAACGUUGUUCUUUGCUGAUGAUAAUCUGUUUUUCAGGGAAGUGUACGCAAGAUCAAUUUCUGUCAGUGGUGUGGUGGCCAGACAAAACAUGAUAUACCUGAUGGGGAGGAAAAGAUGAGAGCUAUUUGCACAGUUUGUGGGAAAAUUACCUAUCAAAACCCUAAAAUGGUAUGGUCAUUCAUUAUUACAAUCAAAUAUGUCAUGUAUGUUUCUGCUGUCUUGUCUGAUUACAUGUGUCAUGUAUGUUUCUUCUAAAAUUGAUUUUAGCAUCCUGGUUCUCACCACAGCUGGUCAGGUAUCUCCAUUUAAUGUGAAGUGCAUGAACUAGCUAGCUUCAUUUAUUCUUUUGGCAGCUAUUAAAAUACAAAUCAUGGGAGGACUUGUUGUGAAAUAGAGAUUGUAUGCAAAAAAGGUUUUUAGGGAGCAUAAGCUGUUGGACUCUGAGUCAUCUAAUAGUGGAAUUGUGUGUGGAUUAUUUUAAUUCUACUGGUUGUUUUAACGAGUACUGAAAACAAGGAAAACGUUGUAGGCAUGAAGCCAAAAACCUUGCAAUGUGUUUAUAUCAUUCUAUUCUUGGUUUUCUCUCCAGUUUGUUUGAUACUGCAUUUUCAAUGAAGGCAAUGGAAAUAUUGUCAUCUUUUGUAAACUGGUUUGAAUAGGUGGUGGGAUGCCUCAUUGAGCAUGAUAACAAGGUCCUACUCUGCAAGCGAAACAUCCAACCAUCAUUUGGCCUCUGGUAUGCGUCUGAAAUUGGAAUUUCGGUACAGAAUGGAACCACUGCGUGCUUUUUCUAAUAUAAACUCUCAAAUAGUAGUUAAAAAGAAAAAAAAUGCAUUUACUCCAUAUGGUACUUGGUCCUUUCUUCUUUGCAUUUUAACUAGUUUUUCUUAUCUUCAUUAUCCAUGAUGGAUAACCCAGAUAAUUGUAUUGUGCCGAUGUAGGACCCUUCCUGCUGGUUACUUGGAAAUUGGUGAGUCUGCUGCAGAAGGGGCAAUCAGGGAAACCUGGGAGGAAGCACACGCAGAAGUGGAAGUCGUGUCACCCUUUGCUCAUUUGGACAUCCCUCUUAUUGGCCAAGUAAGGGAGAGAUGCCUCUCAUUUCUCAUAUUGAUUUUUCUAUGAACUUGCUUAAGGUUUCGAAGUUUGUUGUUGUUGUUUGGAGCAGACUUACAUAAUUUUCUUGGCAAAGCUGAGGAAGCCCCACUUUUCACCUGGUCCAGAGUCAUUGGAGUGCCAACUUUUUUCGCUAGAUGAUAUACCUUUUGAUUCUUUGGCAUUUUCAUCGAUGGCGGUUACUUUAAAGUUGGUAAGAGCCUGUUUUAGCGAUAUACAGUUUCUUAAUUUACUUGCUUUUGUUACUCAUAUAUAUAAUCUCCUGUUGUUGCAGUACAUUGAAGAUGUUAAAGCUGGAAGUCGAAAAUUUCACUACGGCACAAUUAACAAAAGGUACUUUACAAUGCAUUUUUUGUAUUAGAAGCUCAAGUGAACUCCUGUGAGAAUGGAUAAUCCACUUCUAAUCCAACCAGACAGCUUUGGAUUGUCUAUUGUCUCAAUAAAAUGCGUUGGCUAUUUGACUUAUUUUUUGCCAUUUUGCUCUUUUGUAAAUGGUUUUGUGAAAGGAAAUGACCAUUUGAUAAAAGUAGUGUUCAUUUCAGUUUCGGAGGUGUCUAUUUUGAAUUGUUAUGAUGGUGGUGGUUGUGGUAUUGGAGGCAGGCAGGUGCUUGCGGGCAGUUUUAGGUGACUGCCAGUGCUUCUACCUUUUCCAAUGUUUACGAAAGAAAAGAAAUAAUUGAAUAACAGAACACCUUUCUUUCUUUCUGCUGUCAUGAUAAAAUUUGGCUGCUGAUCUUUAGCUUGGGAAUGAGGCUGAAUUUAACAUGACCAACUUCUUUUUCGCAAAAUU